RNAcentral lists this long non-coding RNA (498 nucleotides) under Catharus ustulatus (Swainson's thrush). Its description in RNAcentral is "lncRNA (ENSCUSG00005001098.1)". The record is from RNAcentral. Lineage: Eukaryota; Metazoa; Chordata; Aves; Passeriformes; Turdidae.
AACAUUGAGUCCUGUGCUCUUUUGUUUCACCUCAGGUGCACUAUGCCUGAGAUUUCAUGUGAGUGAGUCUGCUUGAUGACUAGUACAUGAGAGAAGCCACAUUACUGCUUUAAUUACUUAUAAUGAAGGAUCACGGGAUGAUGAUGUCAUCAUUUCAAGGCUGGCUAUGUCUAAGUGCACUGCCAGGAAGAGGAAAGUUGAAUGAUGAUUUAUGUACCUUGGACAAAAUUCAGGCUAUGUGUCUUGGAUGAACUGUUUCUUCCGUACACCAUUGCUGACCAUAAAGGACAACAGCUCCAGGAAGAAGGGUGACUACAUAACAUGAAAGACAUGAUCACAGCAGCUGGAACACAGAAGACACCCGUAUUUAGUCCUGUUAUCAUCCAAGCUGGCCAGUUUAUUCCAGACUUUCCUUUGGUUCAUGGAGACUUCCCAAGUAUCCUUCUCAGCUCCCUCUUUCAGGCACUUGCAAAAGCCCAACAAACACUUGACACGUGA